RNAcentral lists this long non-coding RNA (14477 nucleotides) under Capsicum annuum. RNAcentral describes it as "long non-coding RNA (CANN_LNC007780)". The record is from RNAcentral. Lineage: Eukaryota; Viridiplantae; Streptophyta; Magnoliopsida; Solanales; Solanaceae.
AAUAGCUUAUGACUAAGAUCACAAAAUCAUCGUAUGAAAUAUCACUUUGGACUGUCAUAGCUAUCAUCUCUAGCAUUUCACUCUCCUUCCAGUGCCAUACAUAUCGAUUGCUCUUCUCGAUCCAUUGACUAUGACAAUCCACUCCUAUUGUUAUUGAUCCCUCCAUUAGUGGUACCUAAAUAAAGUAAUUUGUUAAAAAAAGUUAAUAAUGAUUUCAUAGUGCCAUAACAUGAAUCCCAACAGAUGUGUAACCUGUUGCAACAGAUAAGUGAUCAAUCGCAACAAAUUACUAACCUGUUAGAAUUAUGUUACGCUUCUGGAGCUGAUUUCAACAGAUGAGUCAUCUGUUAUAACAGGUGAAACAUCUGUUGCAACAGACUAUGAGGUUGUUGGAACGAUUAUAGGUUCUGUUGCAACCGGUUAUUAAUCUGUUGCAAUAGAUAUUUACCCUACUGCAAUAGAUAACUAGUUUAUCGGAAUUGAGCUUAGGUUCUGUUACAACAGGUAACUAAUCUGUUGCAAUAGAUAUUUACCCCUAUUGCAAUAGAUAACUAGUUUGUUGCAACAGAUAACCCAUCUGUUCGAUUCAAUCAUAAACAUAAAUCCAACAUAUCUCUUCCGUUGCAACAGAUGGCUCAUAUGUUGUAACAGAUGAUUGAUUUGUUUAAACAGAUGUCUCUUAUGUUGCAUUCAUGUUCGUGUGCUAUCUAUUGUUGAAAAAACAGCACAAUAACUGUUACCUAGAUGACAAAUUCAACUAAAAAUCAUAAUUUGACUUAUCAAAGUCUCCCGUGAAGUAAUGCCAAAGUGGAAAGUUAUGUAUGAAAUAAAAUUUUACCUAAGAAAUUAGUCAGAUAGCACCAGUAGCGGUAACAAAAACGAUAAUGGUCAACAAGAAGAAGAUAAAGAUGAUAAUGAAGUAGAAGAUGAUGAUAAUGAAGCAGAAGAUGAUGAAGAAAGCAGCAACAAUAAUGAACAACAAAAAUCGCUAAUAGAAAGAAAACAACAAUAGAUGAGAAGAGGGAGAAACACGUCUUUUUUCUCUCUGUUUCUCAUUAUAUUAGGUAAAUAUUUGGAUCAAAGUGUAUAUUUAAAAACAUCUGGGUUAUUUUGAAAUUUUUCCAACUUUCUUAAUCCUUAAUAAAGUAAUUGUCACCUCUACUCAAUUAUUAAGACUUAUAUCACCUACACUUCAUUUUAAAAUUCUUUUAUCACCUACAGCUCAAAGCCUCUAGUGAUUAAGGCUAUUGAAGUUGUGUGUAGACGGUUCUUAUGGACAGAAGGCACUGAGAAGUCCCAUAAGCACUAGUUUCUUGGAAAACACUCUGCAAACCAAUCUCUCCCAGAGGGCUUAAUAUUGAUGAUAUAUUGACAUGGAAUAAAGUAGCAAUAUGUAAAAUGCUCUGGAACAUAUGCAACAAAAAAGAUAAGCUUUGGAUUCAAUGGAUUCAUACGUACUAUGGGAAGAAGUGUCCAAAAUGGGCAGUAUAUCCUAAGCAAGCAUCAUGGGUCCUAAAAAAGAAAGCCAGUUGGUGGGUAAGGAAAGCAGGCCUCCAACUAAUUGAUUUUGCAGAUAUAGAUAAGUAUUCUAUAAAAACAAUGUACCUUAAACUCAGGGGAAAUUUCCAAAAGGUAACAUGGCAUAGGCUAAUAUGCAAUAAUAUGGGGGCUCAAAGAUAGAAAUUCAUACUCUACCUUGCAAUCUUAGGCAGGUUGAGUACCAAAGAGAGACUAGUUUUUUGGGGUGUGGUGGAUGAUCUACUAUGUCUUUUAUGUGGACAGGGGGAUGAAUAUACUGAACACUUAUUCUUCGACUGUUCUUUCUCUGCUUCUAUCUGGACUAAUUUACUAAAGUGGCAAGGUAUAGAUAGACAACCUGCUAGAUGGACAGAAGAACUAACAUGGUUUGUGGCCAACAUGCAAGGGAAAUCUGCACAAGCAGAGGUGUAUAGAGCAACAGUAACAGCUGGUGUAUAUCAUCUAUGGCAAGAAAGGAACUUGAGGGUCUUCCAAAGUAAACAAAGGACACCUACUAUACUUACAAGGCAGAUCAUCCAAGAGGUGUACCUUAGAGGAUCGCUGAAGAUCCAACUAGCACUUAGACUACUAGAUCUUAAUUUUUUUCCUUAGUGAUUUAACCUACAGUAGCAAAGUUAUGCUCUUGCUUAGUUUGGCCUGAAACUUGGGACUAUAUCCAAGAGCAGGAACUAAGUAGGAAUUUUGUUAUUUGUGCUACACUCAUCUUACUUUGGUAAUAAAAUUAUUGAGUUACCAAAAAAAAGCAUGAACUUGUUAAAAAUUUGAAUCACUUUAUCUGUAAUCAUACGUUAAAGACAUCUUUUUUUCUUCCCCAGAGUCAUCCCAAAUUCAAUAUUUAGAAUUCUUAAAGAACCAUCAAGAUCCUAUUCAUUUUAUUCCUAUCAAUCUAAAUCACAAAACAAAAGAAUAAUUUAAAUAGUACCUUUUGCAUUGCGAUCAUUCAUGCAACCAAUUGGUCUUUAAUUGUUUUGUCGACAUGUAACCUCAUGUGUGCACGAUCCUCUUCUAGUGUACUUUGUAACUAAGCAGUCGUUUGUUCACGUUCUUCUUGCAUUUUCCUAUUCAUUUCUGCACAUACUUAUAGCUAUAAUGGUAAAAAUAAGGUAAUUCUAAUAUAUAACUAUAUAGGCUUUUAUGUAUAGCAAUCUGAGAGAAUUUAUAGUUAAAACCUCUAUUGCUAUCUAUCAUUUUUCUGCUUACUACAGAGGAUAGAUAAGUGUUCGAUUGUAUUUUAAGAGAUUUUUACGUAAAAGUUAGGUUAAAUCGUAUUGUUUAGAUAUCUUAAUUAUCGUAUUGUUUUGUCGUAGUCUCUGCUUUGUUGGUAUAAGCUAUUGUUUCUACUUAAUACAAGUGGCUAGAUGAAUGUUCGGUUGGACUAUAAAUAAUUUUUGUAUAAAGAUAAGGUUUAAUCGUACUAUUAUGAUAUCUUGAUUAUCAUAUUGUUUGUCUGAUUUGUUGCUAUUGCUUUUUUUUUUUUCUGGUUAAUACAGGCGGUGGAUGAAUGUUCUUUCGGGCUUUAAAUUUUUUUUUUUAUAAAAGUGAGGUUUAAUCUAUUGUUGCAAUAUCUCGAUUUUCAUAUUGUUUGUCUGUUCUGUUGCUAUCUGCUUUUUUUCUGCUUAAUACAGUUGAUUACAGGAGAAGUUACAACACUAAGGUUAGUUUGUGUCGUAGUUUUUUCUUAUUCUUAUUGGGAUAAUUUUUUUCUUUUGAGUAGGAGUCCAUUUUUUGUUCCUCAAACUAUUAUUAUUAUUAUUUAUAUUUAUUGUAAAAAAAAUAAGGAUUUUUAAACUGAAAAUUGAUUAUAUUAUACAUAAGAUGUUUUCUCUUAUCAUAACUUAACAAUAUAUGGAAAAAUCAGAUGAAAAAAAUAAGGAAAAAGGGUCUAAAAUAUAUUCAAACUUUGAUGAAAUUUGUUGUAACAUAAUCGAACUUUGCGGGGAUUUUAUGACGCCCCUAAACUAUUUAUUUGUGUAUUUUUGUGACGUUUAUAAGCUAAUAAAUAAAAGAAUUUAGUGCAAAUAAAUGUCAGUAAAAUACUCUAAUAAACAAUUCGAGGAGGGGGGGGGGGUCAUAAUACGCUAAUAAAUAGUCUCUUGCAAAGUUCAUGCGUGUUACAAUAAUUUUCGUCGAAGUUUUGAUAUAUUUCAGACCAUUUUUCAAAAAAUAACUACCUUGAAAAAAUAAGAAAACUUUUAACGUGAGCAAGUAAGAAAAUAAUCCCCAUAAUUGAUUUUUACUUUUUUUUCAAAUAAAUACUUCUAUAAAUUGAAGCUAAUGUAUAGAGAUUUAUAAUUUUAAAAUUAUUUUCUUUGUCUUAAUUUACGACAUAGUUGAAAUUUCAAGAUUCAAAUUAAAUUUAUUUUUUUUUCGAUUGUGAAAAAGAUCAGUUGAAAUAAAACAGACAAAAAAAAAUUUGAUAAAACAUUUAUUCAUAUAACCUAACUUUGUUCGUCUUAUAAAUAUAUUUUUCAACGAUUGAUGCGAGACACACGUGCAAAACACGUACACUAAGCUAGUUAUUAUUAUUAUAUAUAUGAGAUAUAAUUUAAGGACCAAACUCAAUUUCACAACCAACAUUCUUAACAAAAUCACAAUACUCACAUUCAUGCUUAACAAAAAUAAUCACAAUACAAUAUUAUGAAGACAUUCAUGCUUAACAAAAAUAAUCACAAUACAAUAUUAUGAAGGAAGAAGGAUUGAUCACUAUUAUUAGCAUCGAUGGAGGUGGCCUAAGACGAAUUAUUCAAGCCAUUGUUCUUAGUUUUGUCGACCAACUUCAGGUUUUUUAUAAUAAAUAUAUUGUAUUACAUAAUUAUAUAUGUAUGUUUUAUCUGUCUGUAACUUCUUUUAUUUUAAUAUUUUAUAAUUUGCUUUUAUAGUUGUUGGGUGGAAAAGAGGACUUGUAGAAUAUUUUGAUUUCAUAGCUGGAACGAGUAUUGAUGGCGUCAUGCUAGCUUCAUCAUAUCGUCCACUUUAUGAAACUAAAGACAUUCUCCAUUUUACCUAUAUAAUUGCCCCUAGAUUUUUCUUGUUCUUCACGUUUUAAUUUCUAAUUUAUGUUUGAAAUGUAUAGUGCUUUAACUGCAUAACCAAAACAUUAUAACCCAAAUUGAAACAUUAUGUCCCAACUUGACUAAACCCAAAACAUUAUGACCCAAAUUGACUAAACCCGAUCUGGUUUAUUGUAAUUUAUUGUACAGAUUAUGGCAUCUUCUGAUCGUAACUCUGAUCCUAAUAGUGAAACUCUUCCUAAUUCUGAUCCUAGUAAUUUUUUUGACAAAUGCAUGUGAAUGUGAUGUGUGCGAUAUGAUGAAAUCUCUAAUAAGACCGAAAAAUAAUGUAAGGUCUCAAUAAAAUUAGUAGUCUAAAAUCAACUUUUAAAAUAAGGCCUUAUAUUAUUAAUAAUUUAGAGUUAUUUUUUUAUUCUUACGUACAAUUUUUAGUCUAGUAUUAUUAGAAGACAUUAAGCAUUUAAUUUCACAUAGUAAUAUUAUUUAUAUAUAAAAGUAAGGACUAAUUUUAAUUAAUAAGAUAUUAGUCAUUUGCUUGCAAUGCAUUAUCUUGAAUAUUAUUGUGAAAAUUUAAUUUAUUAAUAUGAAGAUUUGAUAAAAAAUUCUAAAAUAUUUUUGAUAAAAAGUAGAUAGCUUUUUUCUUUUUUUAUUAAUUUAAAUUUUAUGCUUUUUCAUUUACAAUCUUUAAUAUUAUUUUAAAUAAAAUUAAAAUCAUAAUAUAAAAUAUUUUGGGGCCUCAAACUUUUGAGGAGUUGAAGCAGACAUUUUACUAUCACCCCAGAUACCAUGGCAAAUACCUACACAAGGUCAUAAGAGACAAGUUAAAAAAUAUUUCCAUUAGUGAGACUACCACUGACAUUGUCAUUCCUACCUAUGAUAUCAAAAAGAGACAUCAAACAAUUUUCUCCACUUAUAAGGUAUAUUGUGACGCCCCAAAUUUUUGGGGCCUGUCACUUGCCAGGAUUGUGCGUGCCAACUAGGCCGCAACCUUGUCAGCUAUGCAGGCGGCAUGUGCUGAGGGAAUAUGCUGAAGUUGAAGAUGAGGCAAAGGGGCAUAACAUGAGGCAACAAGCAUCUAUAUAUGUUGCAUAACAUGCCCUAAGAGUGCCAAUGUGAUUUGGAGAGGGCUUGGUGUGAGCCCAAGGGGGCGGAGGCAUGGUGAGGAUCGUGUGCGGUGUUCGAUGUCAGCGCCGUGCCAUUUUGAGCUACAAGUGAAAUCUAAGGAUUCUGGUUUAGAGAGUUUAUAUUUAUGGUACCUUAUGUAUGCUUACCAAAUUUGGGGUCGUUUGGAGUCCGUUUGGAUAGGGGCUUGACUUGGCAAAGUCCAGUGGCAUUGUCGUAAUUUGCUGAUUGGUCCGAAGGCCAUAACUCGUUCCAUGUGUAUGGGAAUGGGGAGAAACUUCAUGGAGGUGUGAAGGAAGUCAAGAGAAAGGAGUAGGAACAAACGGCACCCAAUUUGAAGGUCGGAUGAAUGAUCUAAUCCCAAGUAUGAUUCUCGGGCAAAAUGAUGUCUAGUGGCGGAUAUUGGGAUUAUUUAUUUUAAGCAUAUAUAAGGGGGGUAUGAAUGGUGACAGCCUACCAACCUCUNNNNNNNNNNNNNNNNNNNNNNNNNNNNNNNNNNNNNNNNNNNNNNNNNNNNNNNNNNNNNNNNNNNNNNNNNNNNNNNNNNNNNNNNNNNNNNNNNNNNNNNNNNNNNNNNNNNNNNNNNNNNNNNNNNNNNNNNNNNNNNNNNNNNNNNNNNNNNNNNNNNNNNNNNNNNNNNNNNNNNNNNNNNNNNNNNNNNNNNNNNNNNNCUCCAAGCCGAUAGAGCAAUCGAGAUACUCUCCCCAAGAGACUCAUGAGCUAACUUGUGAGCUUGGUCAAGGUUCAGCCAAGCGAGCAAGGGUCCGUUGGCCAAGGAUUGAGGGUUGCCCUACUCGGGCGAAGCAAAGGCCAAGUGCACAUGCAUGAGGCGAUGUCAAGCUUGAGGAUAGGACUGUGCAUACAAUGGCAAUGCUCAGGCCAAGGCAAGGGACGAGUAUGUCCGUAGCCAUCCCCAGGAGCGCAUAUGGAUGAGAUCCACGGAUUAAAGGUGCGCCAGAAGAGUUGCUUAUACGUUGGCCAUGUCAGCCGACAUGUUGAAGGAGCGACACCAAAGGGGGCAAGCCUCUGAGGCGAGCUUCCCACAGGCACAGGAUCGUGCUAAAGACCUGGGAAAUGAGGAAGGCUGGCCCAUAGUUGGGGGAACCAUGGGCGCCUCACGGACAAAAUUGUGUGCCGCUGACACGUUGAAAAAUGAGCCCGUGACAAUAUACUCUACUAUGAUAACUAUGUUAUGUUGUUCUAACUCUACAAAAAUAUCUAAUGGGUGUAUGUAUGUAUGUAUGCAGGCGAAACAUUUAAGACCGAUAUUUGCAUCAGCACAUCGGCAGCUCCUACUUAUCUUCUUGCUCAUUGUUUCAAAGUUGAAGAUGGAAAAGGCAACUUUGUAGAACAUAUCUCAUUGAUAGUGGUGUUUGCAAAUAAUCCGAUAUGUAUCUAUGUAUGUAUGUAUAUACUUCAGCGAUUUUGUUUUAUUGGUGUACUUACUAUAUCAAGUUUAAUAUUAUUAACCAUUUGCUUCAAACUUAGGCUUUGGAAGCAAUAAGUGAAGCACAACAAAUGCAUAGGUAUGAUAAAAGGGACUUGUUAGUAAUGGACAGGAACCCAAAAGAAUGGAAGCAAAUAUGAUGCAUACAAGGCAGCCAAAUGGGGAUCAUUGAAUGGUUAUUUUAUAAAGGUUCUACCCACUAAUCGAAGUUCCCACACAAUAUAUCAAGUGCAGAUUUGGCUUGAAGUUAUCACACAAUCAAGUGCAGAUUUGGUCAGAUCAUCAUAUUUCUACCCCUUUCCAUGUUUUAUUCAGUGACGAUACCUACCUUAGAAUUCAAGUAUGUUAGCAUGAAAUUCACUUAUUCCUACCUACUACUCUAGUUUUAUAUAUUUAUAUAUAAACUAGAUACCCGUACCCGUGCAAGGCAUGGACAUUUUGACAACACUAAUGUAUUCAACUUUGGAAAAAAAAAUUUCCUAAUUGUUUUAAUUGUUUAGUAUAGGAAUAAAAAAAGAAAUGUAGUACAAUGAAUCAAUGUUAACAUAAUAUAUACAUUCAGUGUGGAACAAAAUUGAGCUUGCUAGACUGAUUCAACCAAUACAAAAGUAAUUAUAUAAGUCGAUAAAUAUCUAGUUAGAUUGUUGUAACUACAGUUGACGGCAUGUCUUUUAUUUGGACAUUCCUGGAAAAGUACAUGAUGCACGUCUUAUUUGAAAGUUUCAAAUAUAUAAGUUGGAGGAGAUAUCGUCGAUUUCAAAAUAUUUAUUGUACCAUAAAAUUAUCGAAAUACCAUUGGUUAUUUAAUAAGGAAUAAAAAGAUAUUUAUAAAAAAUUACUAUCAUGUAUAAUUUAAUUACAAAGGUCUAAAUAAAAAAUAUUAUUAAAAUAAUACAUGAGGACAAAACUAAUAAAUAUAAGAAAAAAUCAAAAUGCAUGUGUAAUCAUUUUAUUGCACCAUAAAAAAAAGGACAAAACUAAUAAAUAUAAGAAAAAAUAAUAUGCAUGUGUAACCAUUUUAUUUCACCAUAAAAUUACCGAAAUACCCUUGGGGUAUAAAGAACAAGUAAUUUAAUAAGGAACCAAAAAAUAUUUAUAAGAAAUUACUACAAUGUAUAAUUCAAUUACAAAGGUCUAAAUAAAAAUAUUAUUAAAAUAAUACAUGAGGACAAAACUAAUAAAUAUAAGAAAAAAAUAUUCAUGUGUAAUCAUUUUAUUGCACCAUAAAAUUAUCGAAAUACCUUUGGUAGUCAUUUAAUAAAGAACAAAAAGAUAUUUAAAUAAAAAUAGUACCAUGUAUAAUUGAAUUACAAAGGUCUAAAUAAAAAUAUUACUAAAAUAAUACAUGAGGAUAAAACUAAUAAAUAUAAGAAAAAAUUAAUAUCCAUAUGUAACUAUUUUAUUGCACCAUAAAAAUGAGUUUAAAACUAAUAAAUAUAAGAAAAAAGCAAUAUGCAUGUGUAAUCAUUUUAUUGCACCAUAAAAUCAUUGAAAUACUCUUGGUAGUCAUUUAAUAAGGAACAAAAAGAUAUUUAACGAAAAAAAGUAUCAUGUAUAAUUCAAUUACAAAGGUCUAAAUAAAAAUAUUAUUAAAAUAAUACAUGAGAAUAAAAUAAAUAAAUAUAAGAAAAAAGCAAUAUGCAUGUAUAACCAUUUUAUUGCACAAUAAAAAUGGGGACAAAAGUAAUAAAUAUAAGAAAAAAAUCAUAUACAUGUAUAACCAUUUUAUUUACUACUAUAUAUAAGUAAAGGUUGGGGUGACUAAAAUUACUGAACUACCUUUGGUAGUCACCCCAACUUUCACUUAUAUAUAGUAAUAAAUUAAAAUAAAGUAAUAAUAGUAAUAAUAAUAAUAAUAAUAAUAAUAAUAAUAGUAGUUAAAAAUAUAUAGUAGUAAAAUAAAGUAAUAAUAGUAACAAUAAUAAUAAUAAAAUAAUAGUAAUAGUAGUAGUAAUAGUAAUAGCAAAAAAAUAAUAUUAUAAUAAUAGCAAUAAUAACAAUAAUUGUUAUGAAAAACAAAAGCAAGAACAAGAAAAUAUAAAGCAAGAACAAGAAUAAAUAGAGAGAAGAUGAGAGAAUUCUUUAUUUCUCUUGAGGGUGAGAGAUCAUAAGAUUGAGAAUACAAUGAACAAAACUUCUCUAUUUAUAAGAAAAAAUACUCCUAAUUUUUUACUAAAAGACAGAUACUUCAAAUCCUGAUAGAUAUCAACCAGAUCUUGAUAGAUCUGGAUAGACAUUCACUAUAAUGUAAAUACAUUUAUAAUAAUAAUAAUAAUAAUAAUAAUAAUAAUAUAUAAUUACUUAUAAAUGAAGGAUUAGUGUACUGCACAAAAAGAAAACAAAUAAAUAUAAGAAAAAAACAAUAUGCACGUGUAACCAUUUUACUGCACAAUAAAAAUGAAGUCAAAAUUAAUAAAUAUAAGAAAAAAACCAUGUGCAUGUAAAGGUUGGGGUGACUGAAAUUACCGAACUACCUUUGAUAGUCACCCCAACCUUCACUUAUAUAUAGCAGUAAAGUAAAGUAAUAAUAGUAAUAAUAAUAUAAUAAUAACAAUAAUUAUUAUUAUUAUUAUUAUUAUAAUAGUAAGGGUAAUAGUAAAAAAUAUAUAGUAGUAAAGUAAAGUAGAUGAUGAUGAUGAUGAUGAUGAUGAUGAUGAUGAUGAUGAUGAUGAUGAUGAUGAUGAUGAUGAUGAUGAUGAUGAUGAUGAUGAUGAUGAUGAUGAUGAUGAUGAUGAUGAUGAUGAUGAUGAUGAUGAUGAUGAUGAUGAUGAUGAUGAUGAUGAUGAUGAUGAUGAUGAUGAUGAUGAUGAUGAUGAUGAUGAUGAUGAUGAUGAUGAUGAUGAUGAUGAUGAUGAUGAUGAUGAUGAUGAUGAUGAUGAUGAUGAUGAUGAUGAUGAUGAUGAUGAUGAUGAUGAUGAUGAUGAUGAUGAUGAUGAUGAUGAUGAUGAUGAUGAUGAUGAUGAUGAUGAUGAUGAUGAUGAUGAUGAUGAUGAUGAUGAUGAUGAUGAUGAUGAUGAUGAUGAUGAUGAUGAUGAUGAUGAUGAUGAUGAUGAUGAUGAUGAUGAUGAUGAUGAUGAUGAUGAUGAUGAUGAUGAUGAUGAUGAUGAUGAUGAUGAUGAUGAUGAUGAUGAUAAUAAUAAUAAUAAUAAUAAUAAUAAUAAUAAUGGUAAUAGUACUACAACAACAACAUACCCAGUGUAUUUCCAUAAGAGUGGGGUCUGGGGAGGAUAAGAUGUACGCAGUUCAUACCGCUAACUCCGAGGAAGUAGAGAGGCUGCUUCCGAUAGACCCCCAGCUCAAAGUAGAGAACAGUAAACAAAGGGAUGAAAAACAUAAUAGAAAAUCAGGAAUAAUAAAUAAUAAAAUAGACAUCAGAGAAAUAUGAAAUACGAGACAUAAGGGCGACACGAAAUAAGAAAAUAGGUACUAAGACAUAAGACCUAGUGCACCCACCUAGUAAUAACCUAUACUUCCAUAACAAGGACUCUAUGAACACGGCCCUAGGCUUACUAACCCGGCUACACAAGACUCUCCAGACUGCAAGCUACAACCCCCACACCCUCAUUAACCUUCUACCCUUAUCCGCGACCUCCACACCUUCCUAUCUAGGUUCAUGUCCUCAGUCAGUUGGAGUUGCUCCAUGUCAUGUCUAAUUUCCUCCCUCUAGUAUUUCUUCGGCCUACCUCUACCCCUCCUAAAGCCAUCCAAAGCAAGCCUCUCACACCUCCGGACUGGGGCAUCCGCACUCCUCCUCAUCACAUUCCCAAACCAUCGCAGUCUUCCUUCCCGCAACUUGUCUUCCAUUUAAGUCACUCCCACCUUCUCCCGAAUAGUCUCAUUUCUUACUCUGUCACCUCUAGUAAGCCCACACAUCCAACACAACAUUCUCAUUUCUGCCACCUUUAAUUUUUGGAUGUGUGAUUGCUUGAUUGGCUAACACUCCGCACCAUACAACAUGGCCGGACGGACUGCCACUUUGUAGAAUUUGCAUUUAAGUUUAAGGGGCACCUUCUUAUCACCCAACACUCCCGAGGCUAGCCUCCACUUCAUCCAACCUGCUCCAAUACGUUUAGAGAUAUCCUCAUCAAUCUCACCAUUCUCCUGAAUCGUAGAUCCAAGAUAAUUAAAACUAUCCGUCUUACAGACAUCCUGGGAGUCUAACCUCACCACCCCUUCGUCCUCUUGUCUCAAGUCACUAAACUUACAUUUCAAAUACUCAGUUUUGGACCUACUCAACUUAAACCCCUUAGACUUAAGGGUUUGCCUCCAAACCUCUAAUUUGUCAUUCACACCCCCUCGCGUCUUAUCAAUCAACACCACAUCAUCCAAAAAUAACAUACACCAAGGCACUUCGCUUUGAAUGCUCCGUGUCAACACGUUCAUUACCAAUGCAAAAAGGAACGGACUAAGAGUCGAUCCCUGAUGCAACCCGGUCUCAAUCAAAAACUGCUCUGAGUCUCCUCCCACCAUUCUCACUCGGGUCUUCCCUCCAUCGUGCAUGUCCUUAAUAGCUUUGAUGUAUGCCAUCGGGACCCCUCUCACCUCCAAGCACCUUCAAAAAACCUCCAUCGGGACUUUAUCAUACGUUUUUUCUAGGUCGAUGAACACCAUGUGUAAAUCAUUCUUCCUUUCUCUAUACUGCUUCACUAAUCUCCUCACUAAGUGGAUUGCCUCUGUCGUCGAGCGACCAAGCAUAAAUACAAACUGAUUCUCUGAAAUAAGCACAACCCUCCUCAACCUUCGCUCGAUCACUCUCUCCCAAAUCUUCAUAGUGUGACUCAACAGCUUAAUACCCCUAUAGUUGUUGCAGCUCUGGAUGUCACCCUUGUUUUUAUAUAAUAGAGUCAUUGUACUCCAUCUCCAGGCCUCAGGCAUUCUCAUAGUCUUGAAAUGUCGUUAAACAAAUCUAUCAACCACCUUAAACCGGCCUCACCAGCAUAUUUUCAAAAAUUCACCGGAAUCUCUUCGAGCCCCGUUGCCAUACCCCUCCGCAUCCUACGAAUAUCCUCUUUGACCUCCUUAACCUUAAAACGCCUACAGUAUCUGAAAUCACAACUCUCCUUCGAGUUCUCCAGCUCCCCCAACACAAUGCCUCUGUCUCCUUCCUCGUUCAAAAGUCUAUGAAAGUACUUCUGCCAUCUCUUUUUAAUGUGAACCUCCUCCACCAAAACACUACCAUCCUCCCCAUUAAUGCACUUCACUUGAUCGAAGUCCCAGCUCUUCCGCUCCCUAGCUUUAGCAAGCAUGUACAACCUUUUUUCCCGUCUUUCACCUAUAACCCCUCAUACAAGCUCUCAAACGCUGUCGACUUAGCAGCCAUAACUGCUAAUUUAGCCUCCUUCCUGGCUACUUUGUAAGCCUCCUUAUACACCCAUUUCUCCUCCUCAUCUUUACUCUCAAUUAACUUAACAUACGUCUCCUUCUUAAUCUCCACUUUCUUCUUCACUUCCUCAUUCCACCACCAGUCCCCUUUAUGCCGUCCUGCCCGACCCCUCGAAACACCCAAAACUUCUCUGGCAGUAUCUGUGAUACCGCUGGCAGCCCUAUCUCACAUAGUAUCCACGUCCUCUCUGCUCUCCCACACCCCUUUUCCGCUGCUUUUUCCCUAUCUCCAGAGCGUUAACUGGCGUCAAGCAACCCCACUUAAUUCUAGGUCGACCCUCCCCUACCCUUUCUCUUUUUGGACUUCUUGAUAGACAAGUCCAUCACUAGAAGCCUAUGUUGGGUUGAAAAAUGCUCACUCAAAAUGACUUUAUAAUCCUUGCAUAGCCCUCUAUCCCCCAUCCUAUGCAGCAGAAAGUCAAUCUGGGUCUUGACUAUCGCGCUGCGGAAGGUAAUUAGGUGAUCCUCCUUCUUUGGAAAACUUGAAUUCACUAUCACCAGCCCAAAGGCCCUCGCAAAAUCCAACAGAGCAGCUCCCUCACCAUUUCUGUCACCGAAACCAAAACCUCCAUGCACAUCGUCAUAUCCUCUCGGUGAUCCCAAUAUGGCCAUUGAAGUCCCCUGCUAUGACAAUCUUCUCCAAACUAGGCACGCUCCUCACCACCUCGUCCAACUUCUCCCAAAAACUCGCUUUCACCUCUUCCUCUAAGCCCACCUGUGGUGCAUACACACUACACGUAUACAAUGCAAAACCCCCAAUGACCAACUUAAUCUUCAUCAGCCUAUCACUGACCCUCAUAACCUCCACCGCCUGCCCUCUAAGCUCCUCAUCCACUAAGGCGCCCACUCCAUUCUGAUGCCUCACACUCCCCGAAUACCACAGCUUUUACCUAUCCACAUCCAUAGCCUUAGAUCGUACCCACCUAGUCUCCUGCACACACGCAAUAUUAAUCCUCCUCUUCUUAAGAAUCUUCACCAGCUCUACGGACUUACCCUGUAGGGUCCCAAUGUUCCAAGACCCUACCUUCAACCUAUUUUCUCUCGCCUCACGCCUUCUUCUAACACCUUUCACCAAACCCGUCUUAGCGCCUGACCUAUACCCCAAACCCACCCCAUCCCUCUCCUCCUCACCCCCUCCCAACACCGCCCUCACCCCCAAACCCCUCAAAUAUGACCCUAUUCCACCAUCAACCCCUCUAGCCACUACUCAACCAAAAUAAAGCCCCAAACCGACGUACCAAUAAUUAAAGCAACGGAAUGGAAACAGUAAGAGAAGGCACGCACAAAGUACCCUAAUAGUCCUAGCAGCUAAAACAAAUGCAACAAACACAACAAUAACCACCACUAAGCACCAAGCAGUCAAUCACCACUUAACCUCCCAGAACAGGAAAACAAGAAACAGUAAAGCAACAACAGACGGGAAACAUGAGCAGAAUAUUAUAAAAAAAUCAACACAUUAUGUAGUAAUUUAAAUAUCAACGAAACUAAAUAGUAAGCAGUAGAUAAAAGUCAAUGGUUUAGAUGUCAUCGGGAUACUCCUACGUGUUGCUGGUGAUUCCGGCAAUUUUAUUGUCGAAAUUGGGUGCCGAAAAUGGGUCGCCGGACAAGCCCGUCGGUGCAUCGCCGGAAUGAUACCGGAGUGUCCUCUGGAACUUGCCGGAACUGGGUCAUUGUACCAACCUGCUCCGACCAACGCUAAGCCUUUACCCGUCGCCGAAGUCGAGUCAAGUCGAGCCGGCGGUAAACCUAAGCCCGCCGACGAUAGUAGUGUCUAUGGGGGAGGGCAGAGGAGAAAGGAGAGAGAAGGGGGUAGAGACGGGGAUGGGGAGAUCUGGGAGGAGAGAGAGAAUCUAGGGAGAGAGGACCUUACCUGUUGCCAGCGUACGUACGUCGUCGUUGGCGUCGGCGUCGCCCGUUGGACGUUAGUUGAGUGAACGUUGAUUGAGUAAAGGUUAGUGAGAGAAACGUUAGGUGAG